Parus major (Great Tit) is the source of this 1272-nucleotide long non-coding RNA. RefSeq lists it as uncharacterized. The record is from RefSeq and is a predicted model, not a curated record. Lineage: Eukaryota; Metazoa; Chordata; Aves; Passeriformes; Paridae. The transcript has 3 exons.
UUCCUGAUCCAUCCCUUUCCCGAUCCAUCCCUUUCCCCAUCCAUCCCUUUCCCAACCCAUCUCUUCUCUCCCAAUCCAUCCCUUCUCUCCCGACCCGUCCCUUUCCUGAUCCAUCCCUUUCCCGAUCCAUCCUCUUGUCAGCGCCUUGGGCAGCGAUCACUGGAGCCAAAUCCCCUCUUCCUGGGAUCUGAGCUUUCCCUGGAGUUUUCCUCCUGUUUUCUUCAGCAGGAGAGGCACCAACAAACCCUGCCAGGAGCUGCUGGCCCCAGGGAAGAGUUGGGAUGCUCCUCUGGAAUUCUGCAGCCAGGACUGAAACUCCAUCCACCAUGGGGUGGUGUAGUGAGACCUCGCUGGGAGGGAGCCCCUCGGCAGGAACACCAUCAGGAAACCUUUGGAAUCCCUAUUUUCCCAAGAUUUCCUCCUUGAAAUCCCUCCUGCAAUGCCUCGUUUGUCUCCUGCACGCCCAGGAAAGGGAGAAGCCGGGUGGAGCCUGGAGAAAUCGGGGCUGGAUCUGGCUGCGGGUCAGGGUGGGGAAUGUGCAGGGAGUUGUGGAAGAGGGGAGGCCAGAGGAAGAGAAAGGAACCAUCCGACCACGUGGUGGCAACGUGGAGAUGCUACAGAAGGAUUGCUGUGCUUCCCUGAAGGAAUUUUCACUUCACAGGAGACACCUGAAGUUAAUUCGUGGCUUUAAAGAGGACGUUAAAAGCAGGAAAUGUAAAUAUUUUCGGCUGUGUCACCUGAGCCUGUGGAUGCCCUCAGUGGCGUGGAGCAAACAAAUGGAAAAAGCAGGAUUGAUGGAUUGGCCCAUUCUGGAGGUGCUGCCGUCCCCAAGUGUCACAGGUGAGCUCUGUGCCUGUAUCCAGCAUCCACAGAGCUGCAUCCCCGUGGUCCUUGGAUGCAGGAGGAGGUGGGAGAAGCCCACAGGUAAAUAAUUUCCCAAGCUUUGGGCUGGAAUCAGCACACAGAAGGAUUGGGCAUUGAGUGCUGCAGCACUCACAACGUGCUGGUUCCAUCCUCUGCCAAGAGCCUGCAGGAAAACCUGGCACAAUUCCACACAGGCCCCAGGGGCUGCCCCUGCUCUGUUUUUCCCUCAGUACCUUCCCACAGAGCUGGUAAAUCCCAGAGAAUCUUCCUCCAGCCUUCCUCCAUCCUGGAGUGUGGCAGAGCCACUGUCCCCCCUCACACCCCCUGUGUGACCACCCAGGAAAGCUCAGCUAUCCUGAAAUGUUAAAAGCACUGAAGGUUGGAGCCCUCCCCACCCUCCCAGCCAGG